AUACUUCCGUGGCAGGGGAACUGCCAUGGUCACGAAGGCGGUCUUCUCACGGGGAAGGUUUUAUCCAUUGCACUGUGGAUGUGCUGAUCCCCCCGAUUUCCCCAAACGUGGGAAGCUAGACUGUAUAAUUUGUGGUGUGGGGGACUGCGUUUGCGCUCUCUCCUG
Molecule: small nuclear RNA, 165 nt
Organism: Cynocephalus volans (Philippine flying lemur)
Lineage: Eukaryota; Metazoa; Chordata; Mammalia; Dermoptera; Cynocephalidae
Product: U1 spliceosomal RNA
Exons: 1
Source: RefSeq, a predicted model, not a curated record